Molecule: ribosomal RNA, 186 nt
Filed under: uncultured bacterium
Lineage: Bacteria
Description: partial 16S ribosomal RNA
Rfam family: Bacterial small subunit ribosomal RNA
Source: RNAcentral
ACUACAUGAAGCUGGAAUCGCUAGUAAUCGCGGAUCAGAAUGCCGCGGUGAAUACGUUCCCGGGUCUUGUACACACCGCCCGUCACACCAUGGGAGUCGGGAAUGCCCGAAGCCAGUGACCCAAGCGAGAGCAGGGAGCUGUCGAAGGCAGGCCGGAUAACUGGGGUGAAGUCGUAACAAGGUAUC